ACCACCAAUGACAAGAUAUAUGUUUUUCAAAGAAGCUACGGAUUUCGUGUGGCGGGGAUAGAAACAAAGUGCAUUUAUAACCAAAAGAUAUCUAUAAAUACAACAAACGCCAUUCUUCAACAAAGCUACAAGGAUAACAGAGGAACGGCGUACUACGUACUAGAGGCUACAUUGUCAAGAGCGGAUCUUGCCGACAGUGCUCCCAUUCUGCACGCCGUAGCAAAAGCGAAAUAUAAGAGGGACUAUUAUUUCCAGUACUACGACGCUCAUAGAAAGUGUGCUGUUUUUACAUUCGACCAUGGACUGGGAAUACCCAAAUGCGAAAUUCACAUCUGGAAGAAGAUGGUGGGCAGAGGACCGUCGCAAAAUUGCAGAAGGGAGUACGAGUACUUGUGUCCAAGGAAAAGACAUUACGAAGUUUAUGAAAAUACUUGCUUUUAAUAAAUUUGUUCAU
Molecule: long non-coding RNA, 454 nt
Organism: Dermacentor andersoni
Lineage: Eukaryota; Metazoa; Arthropoda; Arachnida; Ixodida; Ixodidae
Source: RefSeq, a predicted model, not a curated record